This 74-nucleotide transfer RNA is filed under the name Verrucomicrobiota bacterium. RNAcentral's name for it is "tRNA-Gln". It matches the Rfam family "tRNA". From Rfam's summary of the family: Transfer RNA (tRNA) molecules are approximately 80 nucleotides in length. Their secondary structure includes four short double-helical elements and three loops (D, anti-codon, and T loops). The record is from RNAcentral. Lineage: Bacteria; Pseudomonadati; Verrucomicrobiota.
UGCCCGAUGGUGUAACGGUAGCACAGCAGAUUCUGAAUCUGCUUGUCGUGGUUCAAAUCCAUGUCGGGCAGCCA